This 253-nucleotide ribosomal RNA is filed under the name uncultured bacterium. RNAcentral's name for it is "partial 16S ribosomal RNA". It matches the Rfam family "Bacterial small subunit ribosomal RNA", at positions 524 to 776 of the family's 1533-position model. The record is from RNAcentral.
UACGUAGGAUGCGAGCGUUAAUCGGAAUUACUGAGCGUAAAGCGUGCGCAGGCGGUUAUAUAAGACAGAUGUGAAAUCCCCGGGCUCAACCUGGGAACUGCAUUAGUGACUGUAUAGCUGGAGUGCGGCAGAGGGGGAUGGAAUUCCGCGUGUAGCAGUGAAAUGCGUAGAUAUGCGGAGGAACACCGAUGGCGAAGGCAAUCCCCUGGGCCUGCACUGACGCUCAUGCACGAAAGCGUGGGGAGCAAACAGG